Molecule: non-coding RNA, 335 nt
Organism: Vicia faba (fava bean)
Lineage: Eukaryota; Viridiplantae; Streptophyta; Magnoliopsida; Fabales; Fabaceae
Source: the annotation of a GenBank genome assembly
UCGGAAGAGAAGAAUAUUUUGAACACUUGGAAAUUAUCAUUGAAUCUUUAAACCAUUACAUCAUUCUGAGUGUAGUUCAAGGUCACAUUUCCAUCUAUUAUAAGCCCAAAUAUCAUCACCAUUUACAUUACCAAAAUAAACCAUUACAAAAUUCAAUUUUCACAUUGCUUUUUAUAUCAAAGAAAAUCAUUACACAAACUUUUGUUCUAAGACUAAGUCUUAGUGCUUAUACAUCUUCAUGCUUGCUUCCCAUGACAAGAUUCUAUAUUUUUCAAACCUUUUUCUCACUUUGUUCCUUACAACCAAAUCCAAGCACCUCACCAUUAGAAACCGUG